GUCGACCAUAUGCGAUCGCGUGCGCCAAUAUCUAUGACUAAGCAUAUAAUUCCAGAUAAGUCCAGUGACCUUGUCCUCUUCUGAUGUCUCGUCAGGUCCGUGAUUGCGAUACCUCUUAUGUCCCUUGCCUCUUCUAUGACCUUGACGUUUGCGUGGACGUACUCGAGCCAUCGGACUGUUGUCUUCCCGACUUGCCCCUUCCAGAAGACCCCGCCGCCCUAAUACCUGAAUGCUGUCUGAUGGUCUUAUUUCUAGCAGCACUUCUUUGAUUUCCAUUUGAAACCGCCAAGUUUUUUAGUCUUGAAGUUCUGGAAGCCCUGAUAAUUUAUUUUUUUUUGUUAUGUUUAUAAAAAAAAAUCCAAAUCAAAUUGGAAGCUGAAACCUGCGCUGCUGCCCAUCCCUGUUUCCUCGAAAAGCCGGAGAUUUGUCUGAUGGUGGUGCAGGACGCGCUGGUUUUUGUGCAGCGUCCUUUAGAAUUUUGUCUUUCGCUACCGUAUUAUUCCGUGGCUCCUCAUCAUUAUCCGCAAACCCAA
Long non-coding RNA from Neocloeon triangulifer, 533 nucleotides. RefSeq lists it as uncharacterized. The record is from RefSeq and is a predicted model, not a curated record. The transcript is spliced from 3 exons. NCBI's taxonomy places the organism in Eukaryota, Metazoa, Arthropoda, Insecta, Ephemeroptera, Baetidae.